CCUUAGAGUUUGAUCAUGGCUCAGAGUGAACGCUGGCGGCAGGCCUAACACAUGCAAGUCGAACGGCAGCACAGAGGAGCUUGCUCCUUGGGUGGCGAGUGGCGGACGGGUGAGGAAUACAUCGGAAUCUGCCUAUUUGUGGGGGAUAACGUAGGGAAACUUACGCUAAUACCGCAUACGACCUACGGGUGAAAGCGGAGGACCUUCGGGCUUCGCGCAGAUAGAUGAGCCGAUGUCGGAUUAGCUAGUUGGCGGGGUAAAGGCCCACCAAGGCGACGAUCCGUAGCUGGUCUGAGAGGAUGAUCAGCCACACUGGAACUGAGACACGGUCCAGACUCCUACGGGAGGCAGCAGUGGGGAAUAUUGGACAAUGGGCGCAAGCCUGAUCCAGCCAUGCCGCGUGUGUGAAGAAGGCCUUCGGGUUGUAAAGCACUUUUGUCCGGAAAGAAAAGCUUUCGGUUAAUACCCGGGA
This 472-nucleotide ribosomal RNA is filed under the name uncultured bacterium. RNAcentral describes it as "bacterial SSU rRNA". It matches the Rfam family "Bacterial small subunit ribosomal RNA", at positions 1 to 472 of the family's 1533-position model. The record is from RNAcentral.